This 451-nucleotide ribosomal RNA is filed under the name uncultured bacterium. Its description in RNAcentral is "partial 16S ribosomal RNA". It matches the Rfam family "Bacterial small subunit ribosomal RNA", at positions 354 to 796 of the family's 1533-position model. The record is from RNAcentral.
GUGGGGAAUAUUGGACAAUGGGGGGAACCCUGAUCCAGCCAUGCCGCGUGUGUGAAGAAGGCCUUUUGGUUGUAAAGCACUUUAAGCGAGGAGGAGGCUACCGAGAUUAAUACUCUUGGAUAGUGGACGUUACUCGCAGAAUAAGCACCGGCUAACUCUGUGCCAGCAGCCGCGGUAAUACAGAGGGUGCAAGCGUUAAUCGGAUUAACUGGGCGUAAAGCGCGCGUAGGUGGCCAAUUAAGUCAAAUGUGAAAUCCCCGAGCUUAACUUGGGAAUUGCAUUGGAUACUGGUUGGCUAGAGUAUGGGAGAGGAUGGUAGAAUUCCAGGUGUAGCGGUGAAAUGCGUAGAGAUCUGGAGGAAUACCGAUGGCGAAGGCAGCCAUCUGGCCUAAUACUGACACUGAGGUGCGAAAGCAUGGGGAGCAAACAGGAUUAGAUACCCGAGUAGUCC